RNAcentral lists this ribosomal RNA (722 nucleotides) under Rhodococcus erythropolis. RNAcentral's name for it is "bacterial SSU rRNA". It matches the Rfam family "Bacterial small subunit ribosomal RNA", at positions 54 to 793 of the family's 1533-position model. The record is from RNAcentral. Lineage: Bacteria; Bacillati; Actinomycetota; Actinomycetes; Mycobacteriales; Nocardiaceae.
CAUGCAAGUCGAGCGGUAAGGCCUUUCGGGGUACACGAGCGGCGAACGGGUGAGUAACACGUGGGUGAUCUGCCCUGCACUUCGGGAUAAGCCUGGGAAACUGGGUCUAAUACCGGAUAUGACCUCCUAUCGCAUGGUGGGUGGUGGAAAGAUUUAUCGGUGCAGGAUGGGCCCGCGGCCUAUCAGCUUGUUGGUGGGGUAAUGGCCUACCAAGGCGACGACGGGUAGCCGACCUGAGAGGGUGACCGGCCACACUGGGACUGAGACACGGCCCAGACUCCUACGGGAGGCAGCAGUGGGGAAUAUUGCACAAUGGGCGAAAGCCUGAUGCAGCGACGCCGCGUGAGGGAUGACGGCCUUCGGGUUGUAAACCUCUUUCAGCAGGGACGAAGCGCAAGUGACGGUACCUGCAGAAGAAGCACCGGCUAACUACGUGCCAGCAGCCGCGGUAAUACGUAGGGUGCAAGCGUUGUCCGGAAUUACUGGGCGUAAAGAGUUCGUAGGCGGUUUGUCGCGUCGUUUGUGAAAACCAGCAGCUCAACUGCUGGCUUGCAGGCGAUACGGGCAGACUUGAGUACUGCAGGGGAGACUGGAAUUCCUGGUGUAGCGGUGAAAUGCGCAGAUAUCAGGAGGAACACCGGUGGCGAAGGCGGGUCUCUGGGCAGUAACUGACGCUGAGGAACGAAAGCGUGGGUAGCGAACAGGAUUAGAUACCCUGGUAG